GAGCUUGAUAAUCGAAUGUGGACAAUGUGGAACAUCCAGUGGACAGAGAAAAGGGGCGUGGACUCAAGCGACCAGUCACCGUCCUCCAUUCCUUUGGUUUCUUCACCUGACAAGUGCAUCAGAGACUAUAUCAGAGAGUUUGGAGGGGUGUGGAGGUUCAGUUCCUGGACAAACGGAGGCUGCAAGCUUUCCUCUGAUGUGCCCCCUGGUCCAAGGGCCCUGCCUCUGGGAGACAGGACUCUGGGCUGUGGCCACUCCUGGUGUCUGCUUUGGACUCGCCACAAGCCCAGCUGCUAUUGACCACUUGGAUUUCUUUUAAGAGGUACCUCGCUUAAAACAGCUAAACCCAUGUCAACUAAAAGUCCAGUCCUGCACUCUGAGAACUCAUGAUGUGAUGCAAAUACACAGAUGCUCAAGUCAGAAGAGGUUUCUGUCUCAUUGUCACCUUGGAAAGAUGGUUCAUCAUCUGAGCCUUGUGGCCCAGUGGACAGUGAAGGUGAUGAUAAUACUUACCUUGCUUCUUAUGAAAAUGAGCAGGACCAUCACACAUAAAUUUCUUUGAGAAUAAGUUAUACAACUGUUACACAUGACAAUGAAUAUUCAUAAGCAGGAAAGGCAAGGGAAAUUCACAUUUAUAAGCUAAUGAUUAUGAAGCGCUUCCUGAGUAAUUUGAACAAGAGUUACAUGGAUCAUUCCAUUAAUUUAAACAAGAGCCUUUAGGGGGCUGGUACCUUUAUCAUCUCCAGUUUAGAUGAAGAGACUGACACCCAGAGAUUUUAAGUAACAGACAGCAAAUGGCAGGGUCAGAAUAUCAAGUCUUGGUAAUUUAGUGCCAGCAGUGAGCAUUUUAACACCAGAUGCCUCAACACCACCUGAAGGUCUGGAUACAACAGACAUUGCUGAGUCCCACCCCAAAGGUUCUGAUUCAGUAGCUUUGAGAAUUUGGUUUCUAAGACGUUCCCAGGUGACGCUGAUGCUGCUGGACUGGGGGCCACACGGUGAGAAUUCUGUCACACAGAGCUCUCCUGGUACUUCCUGCCCCAUCAGUGUCUAAAUCAGGACCUCUGAGGCCUGUUUGCACAGGUGAGCUGGACAUCUGUGUGCACAAGGUAUUUGAUUUAUGUCAUGAAGGCAUUUGCUACACUAAUGGGCAAAAUAGAUAAGGAUGCUGAGGAGACUGACUUCAGAAGCAAAGUGAGAGAAGUUGCUCAGUGCUUGAUGGCUCUGCUGCUACCCAAAUCGUUGUAGCUCUGGCUACUCAGACCCUUCCCCAGAGCUGGCCAGGGGAGGGGAGGCCAUUGUCUGAGGAAGACACAGAGAACAGACUCACAGCUGGCUUCCUUGGCUUCCCUCAGUUUUGCCCUUUUAGCAGGUCACACUCUCAGAUUUCAGAAAUCUAUGAAUGGAGAGAUAAGACAUAACUUGCAAGAAGAGAAAGCAUAGGCCAAGAAGAUGUAAACUUAAUAGACGGGAAACAGUGGAAACAGUGUCAGACUUUAUUUUUGGGGGGGCUCCAAAA
Molecule: long non-coding RNA, 1519 nt
Filed under: Capra hircus (goat)
Lineage: Eukaryota; Metazoa; Chordata; Mammalia; Artiodactyla; Bovidae
Description: lncRNA (ENSCHIG00010006959.1)
Source: RNAcentral